RNAcentral lists this ribosomal RNA (497 nucleotides) under uncultured bacterium. RNAcentral describes it as "partial 16S ribosomal RNA". It matches the Rfam family "Bacterial small subunit ribosomal RNA", at positions 28 to 507 of the family's 1533-position model. The record is from RNAcentral.
GAUGAACGCUGGCGGCGUGCCUAAUACAUGCAAGUCGAGCGAACAGACGAGGAGCUUGCUCCUCUGACGUUAGCGGCGGACGGGUGAGUAACACGUGGAUAACCUACCUAUAAGACUGGGAUAACUUCGGGAAACCGGAGCUAAUACCGGAUAAUAUAUUGAACCGCAUGGUUCAAUAGUGAAAGACGGUUUUGCUUUCACUUAUAGAUGGAUCCGCGCCGCAUUAGCUAGUUGGUAAGGUAACGGCUUACCAAGGCAACGAUGCGUAGCCGACCUGAGAGGGUGAUCGGCCACACUGGAACUGAGACACGGUCCAGACUCCUACGGGAGGCAGCAGUAGGGAAUCUUCCGCAAUGGGCGAAAGCCUGACGGAGCAACGCCGCGUGAGUGAUGAAGGUCUUCGGAUCGUAAAACUCUGUUAGUAGGGAAGAACAAAUGUGUAAGUAACUAUGCACGUCUUGACGGUACCUAAUCAGAAAGCCACGGCUAACUACGUG